This 468-nucleotide ribosomal RNA is filed under the name uncultured bacterium. RNAcentral describes it as "partial 16S ribosomal RNA". It matches the Rfam family "Bacterial small subunit ribosomal RNA", at positions 28 to 507 of the family's 1533-position model. The record is from RNAcentral.
GACGAACGCUGGCGGCGUGCUUAACACAUGCAAGUCGAACGGAAAGGCCCUGCUUUUGUGGGGUGCUCGAGUGGCGAACGGGUGAGUAACACGUGAGUAACCUGCCCUUGACUUUGGGAUAACUUCAGGAAACUGGGGCUAAUACCGGAUAGGAGCUCCUGCUGCAUGGUGGGGGUUGGAAAGUUUCGGCGGUUGGGGAUGGACUCGCGGCUUAUCAGCUUGUUGGUGGGGUAGUGGCUUACCAAGGCUUUGACGGGUAGCCGGCCUGAGAGGGUGACCGGCCACAUUGGGGCUGAGAUACGGCCCAGACUCCUACGGGGGGCAGCAGUGGGGAAUAUUGCACAGUGGGCGGAAACCUGCUGCAGCAACGCCGCGUGCGGGAUGACGGCCUUCGGGUUGUAAACCGCUUUCGCCUGUGACGAAGCGUGAGUGACGGUAAUGGGUAAAGAAGCACCGGCUAACUACGUG